CUGUCUCGCGGCAUUUCUUGCUCUCUAAAUCAAACGCGCCCUGCGUGUGCGAGGAAUCGCAGGAACUUUCCGAGUCGAAUGAUCGAUACAUCAUUUGGGUUUCUGUCCUAUCAGCUUUCGACGGUAGGAUAUUGGCCUACCGUGGCAAUGACGGGUAACGGGGAAUUAGGGUUCGAUUCCGGAGAGGGAGCCUGAGAAAUGGCUACCACGUCUAAGGAUGGCAGCAGGCGCGCAAAUUACCCAAUCCUGACACAGGGAGGUAGUGACAAAAAAUAGCAACUCAAAGCAAACGCUUUGCAGAUUGCAAUGAUAUUCGGCCAAAGCUCGUUUGGAGUAUCAAUUGGAGGGCAAGUCUGGUGCCAGCAGCCGCGGUAAUUCCAGCUCCAAUAGCGUAUAUUAAAGUUGUUGCGGUUAAAAAGCUCGUAGUUGGAUCUAGGAUUAGGGCUACGGUCGUUCAGCUUGGACGUACUGUAUGCCCGACUCCUUUUCUCUAGUAUUCGAUUGUUGCUCUUAAAUGAGUGACUUUAGUUGCUGGAACUUUUACCUUGAAAAAAUUGAAGUGCUCAAAGCAGGUUA
This 576-nucleotide ribosomal RNA is filed under the name uncultured eukaryote. RNAcentral describes it as "bacterial SSU rRNA". It matches the Rfam family "Eukaryotic small subunit ribosomal RNA", at positions 193 to 787 of the family's 1831-position model. The record is from RNAcentral.